UCACAUAAUGCGGUUUGCAAAUGUAAUAUUAUACUACUAUAGUAAAAUAUUUGCUUCCUAAUUUCUAUGACAAUUUUAUUGUUACUAAUGUAUUUUAGUUUAACGUAAGAAGAAAAUGGAAGUACGUAAUGAACGAAAUAAAGCAAGAGAAGAAGCGAAACAACUUCGAACCAGUCUUGAAGCUGCAAUCAAGGAAGCUAAUUCCUAUAAACGCGAAAAAAAUGAUCUUGAAAUUCAAAUAACUCAAUUGAAGAAGGAAAUGGAAAAAGUUCAUAUGCUAAUGAUGAAACAUGCUGGUCAAUUUCAUAAGCCUGGACCAGAAAAUGGUGAAGAGCCUGAACGCGACAAUCGUUCUCCUGAUAUAUCAACUGAAGGCUUAAAAAAUGUUAAUAGUGAAGACGGCCUUGUUACAAAAGCUGCAGCAAGCAACAGCGAAACAAAGGAUGUGGACAUUGAGGAAUUUGUAUCCCAAAGAUCGGUACCAAAAAGUGUCUCAGAACUAUUAGAGGAAGAAUCUGCCGAAGAAAAACGUUUAAUACAACAGUUGUCCAAAGAUGAUUUUGAUGAAGAAUAUUUAUUACAAAAAAUUUCAAUGCUGCAACUUCGUCUUGACGAAACACAAAAGACGAUACAAAUUGAGAGAGAGGAAAAAAAUUCAUUACAUAAAGACUUGGAAAAACUUUCUCUUGAACUACAAGAAGUUCGUGAUAAACAGGAAGAACUUAGACAAGCAAAACAAGAAGCUGUACGCGAGCUACUUACAUUACAAGAGCAACAUAGAGCUGAAGUAAGAAUUUUAAAUAACUCAUUGCAAGAAGAAACAACUUCGAGAGAAAACCUCGAAAGGAGAUUAUGUGAAUUGAGAACAGAGCUUGAAAGACUGCAAGCGGAAAAUGCUUCUGAAUGGGGAAAACGUGAACGCUUAGAAACUGAAAAAUUGGCAAUGGAAAGAGACAACAAAAAGCUAAGAGCAGAAUUAAGAGAUUUUCAAGAACGUUCUGAUCGAAAAGGACGACAACCCCUUCAAGCUUCUGAUAUGGAGUACAGAGCAUUGCAACAAGAAUUGGCUGAAAGGAACAAGGAAAUUGGAGAAAUUAAGCUUUCGCAUUCCAAGUUAAAAAAAUUAUUGUCUGAAGCUAAUACCGAAUUAGGUCAUGCUGUAAGACGUGCAGAACAAUAUGAAGGGGAGGUGAAAAGGCUUAGAACAAGAGUAGAAGAGUUAAAACGUGAACUGGCUGUAGCUGAAGAUGAACUAGAUUCUGCCCAUAACCAAGUUCGUCGUUUACAAAGAACUAAUGAAGAAUUGAGCGGACAAUCUGAGGGACUUCAAGUUCAGAUUCAACAUUUACAAACACGUCGUCCAAUAAGUCCAUCCCAUCGUUCAAAUUUACAUUAUUCAUCAAGCAUGAAAUCUUCUAGCAAUGAACCAUGUAAACCAAGUAUUAAUGAUUUACGUCAACUUUUUGAUGAUGGUUCACGGCAUAGCAAUUUACAUGGCCAUUCGGGACAUAGUUAUCAGAGCAAUAACAGUAAUCGUAGCCUACUUAAUCAUGUUUCAAGUAGUAACGGUGGUGUUGCUAAUACUUCCAGUUCAAUUGGGCAACAUAACCAACAUUCACAACAUAUACAACAUAACAAUCAUCAUCAUCAUGAACGAUCAACAAGUUUAACACAAAAUUAUUUUGAUGCAAAACAAACACAUUUGGAGGAUAAUAUAUUUGAAUCAAAACAGCGUUACUUUGAAUUUGAGCGUGCUAAACAAAAAUUUGAACGUGAUCAACAUGAAAGAACAUCAUCAGUAUCAUCAUCAUCACAUAAUAAAUUUUCUGGUAAUUUUAAAGCAGGUGGUAUUAUUACUUCAUCUGGUGGCUCAUCAUCAUCAAAAAGAAAUUCAGAUGGUUUAAAUGCAAGUGCAAUGUUAAGUAAUAAUUCAGUUUUAAGUGGUAAUGGUGCACCACAAAGUUUAAAUGAUGCUAUACAAUUUUUUGAUGAUCAUUCAAGACAUAAUCAACAAAUCAAAAAAGAUGGUUAUUCACGUAACAGCAUUAAUUUAGAUGGACUUAAAAUUUCUGAUGAUGAUGUAAGUCGAUCUUGGAAUCCAGUGGAUUGAUUUGAAUUUUACGUUUAAAUUUAUUGUCUCAUAAUAUAUUUUGCACUGUGUGAUUUUGGAGUUUUUUUACACUCCGUAAUUAUGGUUCUACUAGUUUAUUACUUGAUGAACAAGAUGAUGAAAAUUCUGAUGAUAAUGAGACUUAACGAAAAUUAAAUGGAUAAUAAAUCAUAAAAUGGGAAGAAGAAAAAAAAAAAUUAAAUAUUUUAUUUAAACUAAAAUAUAAUAUUUAAAAAAAAUUAAAGUAUAAAAAGUUAAUUAAAUAAAUAUAUUAGAUGGUUAUACACUUGAUAAAAAUCUAUAAUGCAUUCAGAAAAGAAAACAUAUUAUAUAAUAUUAUAUUUAAAUUUAUAUUAAUAUAUAUAUACAUAAUUAUAUAGAUAUUAUAUAAUUAUUGCAUACGUUUAUAAAAAUUAUGCGCUGCCAACUAUUCCUGUUUCAAGAGUUUUUUUUUUUUUUUUACAAUAUUAUUUGAAAUUUAUUUUUAUUAUAAGUAAAAUGUUAGAUUAUAGUAAAUAGCUAUUAUAUUUUAAAAUUAGUUUAUUAUUAUUUUACAAUUUACAAUUUUUUUUUUUACAAAUUUUAUAAUUUAUAAUUCCAUUUAUUUUAAUAUUUUACAAACUGUUAUUUAACAGAGAUGGAAAGAAAAUAGAAAAUAAGAAAUAGGUGCCAAAUUAAUUUGUGUUUUGUCUGGUAUAUUCUUUUUAAAAAUGUUAUUUCUUAUGUUAAAUGCUUACAUGAUAAUAAUUUUUGUAUCUUAAAUGAAAAUUUUCAAAUUAUUUAGAAAAUAUUUUAAAACUUUUUUAAUGGUAUGACGUAAAUUUUGUGAUCUCGUCUUGUAGUUU
This is an RNA transcript of Condylostylus longicornis, 2955 nucleotides long. It is a transcript of the gene named coiled-coil domain-containing protein 102A, with no coding region annotated. The transcript has 12 exons. NCBI's taxonomy places the organism in Eukaryota, Metazoa, Arthropoda, Insecta, Diptera, Dolichopodidae. The record is from RefSeq and is a predicted model, not a curated record.